CUGGCUGUGUGCCUAAUACAUGCAUGUCGAGCGGAGUUCUUCGGAACUUAGCGGCGAAUGGGUGAGUAACACGUACUUAACAUGCCUUUUAGAUUGGGACAACGAUGAGAAAUUAUCGCUAAUACCGGAUACUUAUAUGGUUCGCAUGAACUAUAUAUAAAAGAAGCCUUUAAAGCUUCACUAAAAGAUUGGGGUGCGGAACAUUAGCUAGUUGGUAAGRUAAUGGCUUACCAAGGCGAUGAUGUUUAGCGGGGUUGAGAGACUGAUCCGCCACACUGGGACUGAGAUACGGCCCAGACUCCUACGGGAGGCAGCAGUAGGGAAUUUUCCACAAUGGACGAAAGUCUGAUGGAGCGACACAGCGUGCAGGAUGAAGGCCUUCGGGUUGUAAACUGCUGUUAUAAGGGAAGAAAAAGCAGUAGAGGAAAUGCUAUUGCCUUGACGGUACCUUGUCAGAAAGCAACGGCUAACUAUGUGCCAGCAGCCGCGGUAAUACAUAGGUUGCAAGCGUUAUCCGGAAUUAUUGGGCGUAAAGCGUCUGUAGGUUGUAUGUUAAGUCUGGCGUGAAAACUUGGGGCUCAACCCCAAAUUGCGUUGGAUACUGGCAUGCUAGAAUUGUGUAGAGGUUAGCGGAAUUCCUAGUGAAGCGGUGAAAUGCGUAGAUAUUAGGAAGAACAUCAACAUGGCGAAGGCAGCUAACUGGGCACAUAUUGACACUGAGAGACGAAAGCGUGGGGAGCAAACAGGAUUAGAUACCCUGGUAGUCCACGCUGUAAACGAUGAUGAUUAGCUGAUAGUAGAACUAUCGGCACAGCUAACGCAUUAAAUCAUCCGCCUGAGUAGUAUGCUCGCAAGAGUGAAACUUAAAGGAAUUGACGGGGAUCCGCACAAGCGGUGGAGCAUGUGGUUUAAUUUGAAGAUACKCGUAGAACCUUACCCACUCUUGACAUCUUCCGCAAARCUAUAGAGAUAUAGUGGAGGCUAACGGAAUGACAGAUGGUGCAUGGUUGUCGUCAGCUCGUGUCGUGAGAUGUUCGGUUAAGUCCUGCAACGAGCGCAACCCUUGUCCUUAGUUAAUUUUCUAGGGAGACUGCCCGAGUAAUUGGGAGGAAGGUGGGGACGACGUCAAAUCAUCAUGCCUCUUACGAGUGGGGCAACACACGUGCUACAAUGGAUGGUACAAAGAGAAGCAAAACGGCGACGUCAAGCAAAUCUCAAAAAACCAUUCUCAGUUCGGAUUGUAGUCUGCAACUCGACUACAUGAAGUCGGAAUCGCUAGUAAUCGUAGAUCAGCUACGCUACGGUGAAUACGUUCUCGGGUCUUGUACACACCGCCCGUCACACCAUGGGAGCUGGUAAUGCCCGAAGUCGGUUUUGUUAACUACGGAGACAACUGCCUAAGGCAGGGCCGGUGACUGGGGUGAAGUCGUAACAAGGUAUCCCUACGAGAAC
This 1452-nucleotide ribosomal RNA is filed under the name Mycoplasmopsis canis. RNAcentral's name for it is "Mycoplasma canis partial 16S ribosomal RNA". It matches the Rfam family "Bacterial small subunit ribosomal RNA". The record is from RNAcentral. Lineage: Bacteria; Bacillati; Mycoplasmatota; Mycoplasmoidales; Metamycoplasmataceae. RNAcentral also lists the same sequence under 1 other name.